UACGUAGGUGGCAAGCGUUAUCCGGAAUUAUUGGGCGUAAAGCGCGCGUAGGCGGUUUUUUAAGUCUGAUGUGAAAGCCCACGGCUCAACCGUGGAGGGUCAUUGGAAACUGGAAAACUUGAGUGCAGAAGAGGAAAGUGGAAUUCCAUGUGUAGCGGUGAAAUGCGCAGAGAUAUGGAGGAACACCAGUGGCGAAGGCGACUUUCUGGUCUGUNAACUGACGCUGAUGUGCGAAAGCGUGGGGAUCAAACAGGAUUA
RNAcentral lists this ribosomal RNA (258 nucleotides) under uncultured Staphylococcus sp. RNAcentral's name for it is "partial 16S ribosomal RNA". It matches the Rfam family "Bacterial small subunit ribosomal RNA", at positions 524 to 780 of the family's 1533-position model. Lineage: Bacteria; Bacillati; Bacillota; Bacilli; Caryophanales; Staphylococcaceae. The record is from RNAcentral.